Molecule: non-coding RNA, 721 nt
Organism: Malus domestica (apple)
Lineage: Eukaryota; Viridiplantae; Streptophyta; Magnoliopsida; Rosales; Rosaceae
Source: RefSeq, a predicted model, not a curated record
CGAAACACACCAGACCGCUCCUCUAAGGUCCCCAAAACCUUCUUCCCACGCCUCGCGAAAUCCUAAAACCCCAAAACCCGUCAACCAGCCCACAACCAUGUCGUCCUUCGCCGCCGCCAGAUCCGUCCUCCGCUCCUCUGCGGCUCGAACCACCGUGGCCUCGAGGCUUGCCUCCGCCCCCAGACCCAAACCAGCCUCCUCACCAUUUCGCGUGCCCAAACCAACCCAAAGCCUCUCGGCUCCUCGCAUUUUCAGGUCGCCUGUGGAGUUGAGCUGCUGCGUAGAGACGAUGCUUCCGUACCACACAGCCACAGCCUCUGCAUUGCUCACUUCGAUGCUCUCCGUCUCUCAGCGCUCCUACGGUUGGACCCCCGAAGAUUGCAAUGAUGAUGUAUGAUGAAUGUCAGAGGGUUCGAGCAAAGUUUUAUGUACUUGCGCUCUAAGACAAGAUGGAUGAUUGUUAUCUGUUGGGAUGCAGUGCAUCGGUCGUAGUUUUCAUGGAUUUCAGUGGACUUUGUAGGACUUGCUUGAGACUUGAGGCAUGCUUCAUCCUAGUUUAAUCCACAGAAUUAUACUUGUUCUACAAUCAUUCACGUAAGUAGAUGCCAUGAUGAUGAUUUACGUUGUCUUUAUAAUUAAUUUUUCGAUCUUGGAAUCCCGAUGAUAUGACGAGGUUGAGGUCAAACGUUUUGAUGCAAUUUCCAAUCUCCGGUCUUCUUGA